Molecule: ribosomal RNA, 467 nt
Filed under: uncultured bacterium
Lineage: Bacteria
Description: partial 16S ribosomal RNA
Rfam family: Bacterial small subunit ribosomal RNA
Source: RNAcentral
GAUGAACGCUGGCGGCGUGCUUAACACAUGCAAGUCGAACGGAAAGGCCCAAGCUUGCUUGGGUACUCGAGUGGCGAACGGGUGAGUAACACGUGGGUGAUCUGCCCUGCACUUCGGGAUAAGCCUGGGAAACUGGGUCUAAUACCGGAUAGGACCACUUCUUGGAUGUUGUGGUGGAAAGUUUUUUCGGUGUGGGAUGAGCUCGCGGCCUAUCCGCUUGUUGGUGGGGUAAUGGCCUACCAAGGCGUCGACGGGUAGCCGGCCUGAGAGGGUGUACGGCCACAUUGGGACUGAGAUACGGCCCAGACUCCUACGGGAGGCAGCAGUGGGGAAGAUUGCACAAUGGGCGCAAGCCUGAUGCAGCGACGCCGCGUGGGGGAUGACGGCCUUCGGGUUGUAAACUCCUUUCGCUAGGGACGAAGCGUUUUGUGACGGUACCUGGAGAAGAAGCACCGGCUAACUACGUG